This is a long non-coding RNA of Cornus florida, 1999 nucleotides long. RefSeq lists it as uncharacterized. The record is from RefSeq and is a predicted model, not a curated record. NCBI's taxonomy places the organism in Eukaryota, Viridiplantae, Streptophyta, Magnoliopsida, Cornales, Cornaceae. The transcript is spliced from 4 exons.
AGGGAAAUGUUUUAUGUUUGAUAUAAAUUAUUAAAGGAAAUAAAAAGAAAUGGAGGAAUGAUGCGUUGAUUUUGUUAUUUUUUUUAUAAAUAGAAGAAAAAGGAAGGAAAUGAUAAGAAUUUUUUUUUUCUUUAUUUUCACACUUUACCAAACAUGGUCCCAAAGAAAACCCUACGAAUGAAGACAGUUCGAUACACUGGGGGAGAGAGAGUGAAACACUGAUAAAUAACUUUAAACGAAAAAUUGAUGGAGAGAGAUAGGGAUCAACCCUACAACAAGUAAUCCCAUUGUAUGAGAAGCACGGGAUGAUUUAGUUCUACGUCUCACAUAUUUAUUCUCAAAUGAGGACCAUUGGCACAGCUUCUUCAGUGACAAGACCGUACUUUCGUGCUCCCAUAUGGUAUCCGCUGGAUCUGUCAUCAGAACUACUGCAAAAAAAGGCUGUUCAGUUCAAGGAAUGUUUAAACGCGAGGGGAAGUUACUUCUCCGGUCAAGAUAUUUACGGUGAUGCACUUUUGGCAUCCGUUGGGUACACAUGAAGAUGUAUCGUUGUGUACAUAUUACAGGAUAUUUAUUGGUAAGAUACCUAGUGGAGUUUACAAGACGUCCAGAAAUGAAAUACUUGCAGUAGAGUUGCCUGCAGCAUUCACUACGAGAACAAAUUGGCAGGAGUCUCCUCUUUGUAUUUUGCCGUCAGCACCAUUUUUCCGAACCUCCCUUCUCUACUACGAGUGAUCCCUUAGAAUCAGUGCUACGGUUACCUGGUUCACACGAGGUUGAAGGUUACCGAGUCAGGUAUCAGAAUCCGAUGGAGGUGUCAAUGAAUCAGUGGGAUCCAAGUAACAUUAUAGAUGUGGAAUAAAAAUAUUUUUCAAGCAUUCACCAAAAGAAUCUUAUAAGAAGCAUAGUGAUGCUAUCCAGAAUACUUUUUUGAGUUCUCUCAUUGUUGAACACAUAUUUAAAGCAACUAGAGAUGUCUUUAGAUAAGCUGACCUCCUCAGGAGAUGUUAUUGGCAUUCAAUUUUAUCCCCAGGACUUUUUAAUGAAGUUUGCUUUGUGCCUACUUGUACAUAAUGUUUGGCAGAGUAUUCGGACGUAAGGAGGCAGAGUAUUACAUUUGAAAUCGGUUAAUCAAAUAGAUGCAGUGGGAGGUGUGUGCCCUGCAAACAUUGAAGGUCCAGAAUCUGGAGUCUCUCCAUCCAAUGGGUGUUUAGCUUGUACUCUAUAUAUUCCUUUGCUAACAGAAGGAGAGGUUAUGAAAGAACUUCUUGAAAGUAGUGAAGAGUUUGAGUUUGAGUUUGAGAUAGGGUUCUGAGCAGUGAUCACCGGUCUCGAAGGAGUUGUGACACAGAUGUCAGUGGGUCAACUCUGCUUGUUUAUACAUGUAUAUUUUUUUUAAUGUCAAUUUCAUGAGAUUGUAUAGGGAGCUAGCCAGAUCUAGAAUAAUGGAACUUUGACCGAAGAAAAUUUUCUUUUCAUUUAAAUGUUGGAUAUAUGCAUUAACCUGUGGGUUGAAGUUGAGGGGCUGGAAAUUGUUUGCCUCCCUUUUUUUUGUAAAAGAUUUGAAAACAAAAAUUCCUUGUCAUUCUGGUCAGGUGGUAGCACCAAUGUUGGAUACAAGCAAUGUAUCCAUAAUUUGAUUAUUGUCGUGUUGCUCUACUAUGCUGGAAAUAACUACUAGUUUAUGGAAGAAGUUCCUGCUGACAUGGGUAAAUGGACAUGCACAAAUUGAUUUUUAGAUGAGGUUUUCUAGUGUUGCAGCAUGCAGAUGAACAGUUUCAAAUGAGAAACAACGGUUAUCUUAUCAUCGGAUUAUUUUGUUCCAUAUUGAUGCAGAGAACCAUGCAUUACACUUGGCUUUUGUGUAACAAUUUUCCAAAUUUGAUGUUAAAGAGUGGAGAUUGAUAUCCAUGUUCAUUGCAAGAUGAUUUUGGAUGUGGUUCUGGGAGUUUUACUGGAUUCUUUGUUAGACUAUCCAACUUCUCUGAAUAGAAGAGUC